GAUGAAGAACGCAGCGAAAUGCGAUAAGUAAUGCGAAUUGCAGAAUUCAGUGAGUCAUCGAAUCUUUGAACGCACAUUGCGCCCCUUGGUAUUCCAUGGGGCAUGCCUGUUCGAGCGUCAUUUGUACCUUCAAGCUCUGCUUGGUGUUGGGUGUUUGUCUCGCCUCUGCGUGUAGACUCGCCUCAAAACAAUUGGCAGCCGGCGUAUUGAUUUCGGAGCGCAGUACAUCUCGCGCUUUGCACUCAUAACGACGACGUCCAAAAGUACAUUUUUACACUCUUGACCUCGGAUCAGGUAGGGAUACCCGCUGAACUUAAGCAUAUCAAUAAGCGGAGGA
Molecule: unclassified non-coding RNA, 337 nt
Filed under: soil metagenome
Description: partial contains 5.8S ribosomal RNA, internal transcribed spacer 2, and large subunit ribosomal RNA
Rfam family: 5.8S ribosomal RNA (bases 1-120)
Source: RNAcentral